GAUGAACGCUAGCGGCAGGCUUAAUACAUGCAAGUCGUGGGGCAGCAUGAGUAGCAAUACUUGAUGGCGACCGGCAAACGGGUGCGGAACACGUACACAACCUUCCGAUAAGUGGGGAAUAGCCCAGAGAAAUUUGGAUUAAUACCCCGUAACAUAUAGAGUAGGCAUCUUCUUUAUAUUAUAGCUUCGGCGCUUA
This 196-nucleotide ribosomal RNA is filed under the name uncultured Sediminibacterium sp. Its description in RNAcentral is "partial 16S ribosomal RNA". It matches the Rfam family "Bacterial small subunit ribosomal RNA", at positions 28 to 221 of the family's 1533-position model. The record is from RNAcentral. Lineage: Bacteria; Pseudomonadati; Bacteroidota; Chitinophagia; Chitinophagales; Chitinophagaceae.